UUACGACCAAAUCACGUUGAAACACCAGUUCCCGUACGAUCACCAUAGUUAAGCAAUGUUAAGUCUGCUCAAUACCUAGAUGAGUGACCGCUUGAGGAUACCAGGCGCCGUAA
Molecule: non-coding RNA, 113 nt
Organism: Acanthosepion pharaonis
Lineage: Eukaryota; Metazoa; Mollusca; Cephalopoda; Sepiida; Sepiidae
Source: the annotation of a GenBank genome assembly